Molecule: ribosomal RNA, 435 nt
Filed under: Triticum aestivum (bread wheat)
Lineage: Eukaryota; Viridiplantae; Streptophyta; Magnoliopsida; Poales; Poaceae
Description: partial small subunit ribosomal RNA
Source: RNAcentral
AUGAACCAAGAAAAUAAAAGGCAUCAAUUAUUGAACAGUGCCAGCUAUGCAUACAAGGAACCAAAAUAUGAAUAUCAAUUUCGGCCCCCUGAUUGCCUGAAACCGCCGCCGGCGGCUGUGGCGAACUGGAUUAGUAGGGGAGGGGGCGACAGUGGGACGGGUGCCAUAAUCAGAGACGAUCUUGGAAGGUUUGUAGCAGCGGGAUGUUGUGGUAUACCGUUCGUGGACGACGCUGCCACAGCUGAAGCUCAAGCCCUUCUGAACAGACUAAUUCUUGCGGGACAAGUGGGAUGUAACAGGAUCAUGGUCGAAUCAGAUUGCAUGGAGGUUGUCGAUAUAAUGGAGCAUGGCGACAACUCCAUAGGACCAGCAGCGGCGAUUUACGAGGAGUGCUCCUUUCUAGCUUACAAUUUUGAUCAUGUCAUAAUAAAUUAA